RNAcentral lists this ribosomal RNA (858 nucleotides) under uncultured Pseudomonadota bacterium. RNAcentral's name for it is "bacterial SSU rRNA". It matches the Rfam family "Bacterial small subunit ribosomal RNA", at positions 58 to 895 of the family's 1533-position model. Lineage: Bacteria; Pseudomonadati; Pseudomonadota. The record is from RNAcentral.
CAAGUCGAACGCGAGCGGGGCGCAAGCGCCGCUCGAGUGGCAAACGGGUGAGUAACACGUGGGUGACCUGCCUUCGAGUGGGGGAUAACGUCCCGAAAGGGACGCUAAUACCGCAUGACAUCCUGCUUUUGGAAAAGCGGACAUUAAAGCUGGGGAUCGCAAGACCCGGCGCUUGAAGAGGGGCCCGCGCCUGAUUAGCUUGUUGGUGGGGUAACGGCUCACCAAGGCAACGAUCAGUAUCCGGCCUGAGAGGGCGGACGGACACACUGGGACUGAGACACGGCCCAGACUCCUACGGGAGGCAGCAGUGGGGAAUUGUUCGCAAUGGGCGCAAGCCUGACGACGCAACGCCGCGUGGAGGACGAAGAUCUUCGGGUCGUAAACUCCUGUCGAGCGGGACGAACGCUUCCUGGGUGAAUAGCCUGGGGAAAUGACGGUACCGCUAAAGGAAGCCCCGGCUAACUCCGUGCCAGCAGCCGCGGUAAUACGGGGGGGGCAAGCGUUGUUCGGAAUUACUGGGCGUAAAGGGCUCGUAGGCGGCCCUCUCAGUCGGAUGUGAAAUCCCCCGGCUCAACCUGGGAAUGGCAUCCGAUACUGGAGGGCUUGAAUUCGGGAGAGGGAUGCAGAAUUCCAGGUGUAGCGGUGAAAUGCGUAGAUAUCUGGAGGAAUACCGGUGGCGAAGGCGGCAUCCUGGACCGAGAUUGACGCUGAGGAGCGAAAGCUAGGGGAGCAAACGGGAUUAGAUACCCCGGUAGUCCUAGCCCUAAACGAUGAAUGCUUGGUGUGACGGGUAUCGAUCCCUGUCGUGCCGAAGCUAACGCAUUAAGCAUUCCGCCUGGGGAGUACGGUCGCAAGGCU